RNAcentral lists this long non-coding RNA (202 nucleotides) under Elaeis guineensis (African oil palm). RNAcentral's name for it is "long non-coding RNA (EGUI_LNC016216)". Lineage: Eukaryota; Viridiplantae; Streptophyta; Magnoliopsida; Arecales; Arecaceae. The record is from RNAcentral.
GUGUAUUCAAGGUAAAUGUAAGUUCUAGAAAUGACCUCCCAUCUUAAAUAAAUGAUGUAAAUAAGUCUAUGUUUAGAUCGAACUAAUAUUGAUAAGCCAUGUGUAUUUUGUAUAUGGGUCCUUGUGUUAUUGUACAUGUUAUGUCCGUUAAGUUACAUUGCCGAGUUUGCAGCAGUCGUAAAGCAAGUCGUGGGCAGCAACA